Non-coding RNA from Pelobates cultripes (western spadefoot toad), 764 nucleotides. Lineage: Eukaryota; Metazoa; Chordata; Amphibia; Anura; Pelobatidae. The record is from the annotation of a GenBank genome assembly.
CUAUAGUUCUAACUAGCUGUUUAGGCCCCCGGCCACUUUAUCUCUGGUUAAAAAAAGGUGAUUUACUCACCUUUUCCCAGUGCUGCAUGGGUAUGGUUGCUCCUGGCUCCGCCCACGCUUCGCCAAUCUCAGCCAAUCCAGGCUAUAGCUGCAUGGCAAAACAACACGCUGCGCCAAUCAGCAUCUUCUCAUAAAGAUGCAUUGACUCAAUGCAUCUCUAUGGUGAAAGUUCAGCGUCUCUAUGCAGAGUGGGAAGGCGUUGAACAGCAGUGCAGUGUCUGAGUGACUGCCACUGGAGGUGCGCCUAGGGAGAAAUGCAGGGACAUGCUAUAGACACCAAAACAACUACAUUAAGCUGUAAUUGUUCUGGUGACCACAAUGUCCCUUUAAGUGCUAGGUAUUUAAGAUUGUUUGGAGUGAAAUAGAUCUGUACCAGGAGCAAAAUGGGAGCAGGAUGUAAGAGAGACCACGUUUGGAAAUAUUUUAAUAAAGUUCCUCUACCUAUGGGUAAAGCAGGUAUGUGUGCAAAAUACUAGCAGUGCAAUAAAGACAUGCAAGGCCUGGCAGCCCCAAUGAAACAUCACUAGAAGUGCUGUGAUGAAAGGAACAUGUUUGAAGAGGCAGGACCUUCAGGUUGGUAAAUGGUUUUUAUUUCACCAUAUAUUUUUACGUCUGCCAUAAGGAAUUGUCAUGCUAGAGCAAUUAUAUAUAUUUGUUAUUGUCACUACAUGGCACUGCAUUUUAUAAAGUUGCUAAAAAGAAAU